Unclassified non-coding RNA from Papio anubis (olive baboon), 148 nucleotides. It matches the Rfam family "Metazoan signal recognition particle RNA". From Rfam's summary of the family: The signal recognition particle (SRP) is a universally conserved ribonucleoprotein. It is involved in the co-translational targeting of proteins to membranes. NCBI's taxonomy places the organism in Eukaryota, Metazoa, Chordata, Mammalia, Primates, Cercopithecidae. The record is from Ensembl.
GCCGGGUGUGGUGGCAUGCAUCUGUAAUCCCAGCUACUCAGGAGGCUGAGGCAGAAGAAUCGCUUGAACCCAGGAGGCAGAGGUUGCAGUGAGUCGAGAUCACACCACUGCACUCCAGCCUGGGUGACAGAGCGAGACUCUGUCUCAA